Molecule: ribosomal RNA, 249 nt
Filed under: uncultured bacterium
Lineage: Bacteria
Description: partial 16S ribosomal RNA
Rfam family: Bacterial small subunit ribosomal RNA
Source: RNAcentral
UACGUAGGGGGCAAGCGUUGUCCGGAUUUAUUGGGCGUAAAGAGCGUGUAGGCGGUUUGGUAGGUCCGUUGUGAAAACUCGAGGCUCAACCUCGAGACGCCGGCGGAAACCAUCAGGCUAGAGUCCGGAAGAGGAGAGUGGAAUUCCUGGUGUAGCGGUGAAAUGCGCAGAUAUCAGGAAGAACACCCGUGGCUAAGGCGGCUCUCUAGUACGGUACUGACGCUGAGACGCGAAGCGUGGGGAGCGAAC